GGUUGAGGAAAGAAGAUAUCAGAGUCCCCUCACUGCCCUCCCCAUUAACACACUCAAGGCUAAGCUAGUGAGGGGAGAGUAUCUUUGGGAUACUGGACAAAAUAUGGAAUUCCAAGAACCAGGAAGCUUUUGUCUUAUUCUAAAAGGAUAUAACUUGCAGGCUGUCUCCAGAUCAAUUGAGUGGUAGAUCCAUAUUACAAAUAAACAUGAUAGCAGAGUGUGAUUAGGCAGAAGAAGGUGCAUCUCAGCACCUCCUUCUGUGUAAUGUGGAAAUGAGCAGCUAUUGUAGUGGGAAUGAGCAACUCCACAGUAAAGGCAUUAGGCUGUGCCAUCUGGGCAGUGGAUGACAGAGAUAUCAGUGUGUGGCUGGGGUCUGAAGCCUGUUCAGGGUCAAGAUGAGCCUAAGUCAUCCAGAAAGGCUGAUGAAAUCAGCAAAAGUCAGCCAGACAAAGGGCACUGUCAAGGCCAUCAUAUGGCUCUAAGCAUCCCUUUUCCCACCUCCUCAAGAGCACCAAGAAAGACACCAACAUCCAUUGCCAAUUUCCUUCUCCUUGCCAGUAGGGAGGCUGAAAAAAAACAGAUACUCUCUUUCUAUUAAUAUAUCUUCCUUAUAGAGUAGGAUGGAUAUUUGGCUAAGUAUUGAUCAAUAAGAUAAAGUGGAAUUUGCUGGGUGGUGGGCGGGGGUCCUUUGUGUAAUAAUUUUGUGUCUUGAUAAAGUAGGAAUAUGGCUGGGACCAUCCCUGACUCUCUUUUUUCCUUGAAUGUGAACACAUGAGUGAAGCAUACAUCCAUUGUCCAUGGGGCAAGAAACAUGAGGAUGAAAAGCCAAUAUGUUAAGGACAUGAAGUGAAAAGCGGGAAGAGCUUCUUAUUCAUGUUAUCACUGAGCAGCGGGAACUGGGGGCUCUGCUCAUUAUAGUUGCCCACGGCCUCCAGUCAAUGAAAUUUCCGGCCAAUGAAAUGCUCUACUGUGACUGAAGCAGCAAAGAGAAGAUGUUCUGCCGGAGGCCUCUCCAGAUUGUGAUGCACUGGGAGCAAGCCACCAUGAACAUAUCCUCAGGUCUCCAGUCUUCUGCCAUCGCAUGAAAAAUGGAGCUUGUCAAACACAGAGCAGAGCUGAACUUUCUGAAUUCCACAGGACAGUUCAGAGUGCUUGGAAUGACACCCACCUGCAAUUUAAACAAAAAAGAAGGAUGAGUAAGUGAGGAGCUAAAAAUUGCAUGUUUCCCUAAAUUAGAUUUAUUUGUAAGCUUUAAGUAAGUGCAAACAUAUUUCGAAUUAUCUGUUAUGAAUUGUGGUUUUGUUAUUAAAUAGACAUUUUGUUUAAUUCUUAUGUGCAAAGUGAAAAGAGACUUGUUUUGCUGGAUUUUUCUUUUUGGUAAGUAUUGAAUUUUGAAGGGGUACUAGUUUUUCUAGCCAAAUUGAAAAAUUUCUCAGAAUUUAAAGGAUACUCCAUGUGAGUUCAAGCUGUGUUAGGGUUUGGCUACAUAUUUUUCUUUGGCAAUGAAAAGUAUGUUUGAUUCUUAUGACUUGGUAGACUUCAAACAGGCUCACACACAAACUGUUGUCCUUAUAAGGUAGAUGUGGAGGAAACCAACAUAUGAGAGUGAAAUUUAUCUCAAAGCAAAGAAGUGAGGAGUUUAAAAGAUAGAGAAAUGCCUUUGAUUAGAUUCUCUGAGGUUUUGAGCUUCUAAUAUUUUGAUUUUCAAUAUACUUUUUUUUUUCCAAAAUUUGAAAGGUUCUGGGAUUUCUUAGCCCUUGUUGUUUGUUUAAAGUUCCUAUCCAUAACUAAUAGAAAGAAAGUGGUUUGGCUAUGUUCAAGGCUUAAAAGAAAAACAGCUACCACCCAUAAGCAUCUAUUAUAUGCCAUAACAUUGAACACAUAUUGUCUCAUUUAAUUUUCCUGGCCUCGUCACACUACAGUAUUAUCUUCCUCACUUUACAUAUGGGAAUAAUGAAACUCAGACAGGUAAAGUGAUGUACACAAAGGCAUGCAGUUAGUAAGUUUUGGGCCUUGUCCAUCUGCUGUUCCCUAUGUCUGAAAUAUUGUGUCCAGCAUUCCCUUGGGCUCAUUCCUCCUACCUUCCCUACUUUCUUUGAAUAACUCCUAUAUCCUUCAAAGCACAGUCUCUGGUUUUCCACCACCACUCCAGUCUUAGUUAGGUGCCCUCCCACUUUCUACCCGACCGAGUCUGCCUGCAUCAAACACAGAUUACAAGUGCAUUGAGUCUCUCUCAUCUUUAAAUCUUUAUUAUUAUUAUUAUUCUUUUGAAGUGGAGUCUCACUCUGUCACCCAGGCUGGAGUGCAGUGGCGCGAUCUUGGCUCACUGCAACCUCUGUCUCCUGGGUUCAAGUGAUUCUCCUGCCUCGGCCUCCUGAGUACUGGGACCACAGGCAUGUGUCACCACGCCCGGCUAAUUUUUUUGUAUUUUUAGUAGAGAUGGGGUUUCACCAUAUUUGUCAGGCUGGUGUUGAACUCCUUAGCUCAUGAUCCACCCACCUCGGCCUCCCAAAGUGCUGGGAUUGCAGGUGUGAGCCACUGCACCCAGCCUCAUCUUUAAAUCUUUAGUGAUUCACUUAGCUCUACUAAUUAUUAUUUGUGAAAUAAAAUUUUAAAUUAGUAACUUCCUUAGAAUUUCUAUGAAUAAUUGCUCAAUUGCCUUAUCUGAAAAGAAAACCUUAAUAUCUAAUAAAAAUUCCUCUCCUCAGUCUUGCCCAAUGGAGGCCAUUCACUGAACAGUUGAAAGGAGACUGCUUGCCCUUUAUUCCUCACACUUCUUUCAUACUAUUCUUCCAACAUAACCAUUAAAUUUCACCUCAGAAGAAAGGCCACAAUAUUCAUUAUACUGCUCUUCCACAUUUGCAGUACAUCUUAGUUUCUGUAUUCUAGGAUAGUGAAGAUAGAGCCUCAGGUAAGAAUUAAGUGCUAGUGCUUUAUUGGGAGUUAAAUCCCAGGAGAGUGAGAACAAGAGAAAAGGUAAGUGGUGCAGCCAAGAAAGGUGAAGCAUUACCCCUCCAUUGGCUUCUUCACAAAGCAGGGCAAAGAGCACCUACUGUUAUUUGGUAGGUGCCUACACUCAGUCAUACAGGACUUCUUUAUGCAGGCUGAUUGGAGAAAGUAAGACAGAGGAAAUUGAGCUGCCCAGGUUUUUUUCCCUGCCUCUCUUUGGCCAAGAUAGCACCAGAGAGUGUUAACUACCUUGCAUUCCAGUUUGGGUCAUUCAGCUCCUUUAGCAGCCUCCUGGGAAGCCAGAUGCACUCCCUGUGGUGGCAUUUCCCCAAAUGUAGAAGAGAUGAGAGGAGUCAGAGACUGUGGGCUUAAAGUGGUUAGUUUUAAAAGGCUGACUGCAUAGCCCUGCAUUGGUAGUGGAAGUGAAGUAAGCUGCUGAAAAUUGAAACAGGUAAACCUGAGAAACUCAGAAGGGGCAUAUGAAUCCAUACAGACAUACUUCCACCUCGUACAUCUGAUUUAUUUCUCUUUUUACACCAUUUUCUGUCACAAAUCUCACAGCUUUCCAAACUAUAGUACAACUGGUCAAAAUGUCUGAAUGUUGUAUACCAGGAAAAUAUGCUGGCAACUCAACCACAGCACAAGUCUAAAAUCAAAUUUUCUAAUACUGUUCUGUCAAAACAUUUUCCUUCUCUGAUUUUUGUCAUUUCUCUUCAUGGAGACAUGAAUGCUUGUAUUAACUUAGGUUGAAACAUCAGAACUUCAGAGUUAUCUCUGAUUCCAUCCCUCCUUCCACCCGUAGGCAAAGCACAUCAUGUAAACAUAUUAGCAAUCUCUCAGUAGUGGUGAGGAUACUCUCUGGCACAAAUUGCACAUUUAGCAAGAGUUUGAAUAAAAUAAAUAAAUCUGUUUGCUUUUCAGUUUGCUGCUACAUUUGUGUGGGAAGUGCUGCUUGCCGAUAGGGAAGUAGGAGAGGAAAUAAGGAAAACAAUAAACCAAGUACAGUUUUGCAAAUACCCAGACACAUUGGAUGGACACAGAAGCUUUCACUGGGAGAUUAUGAAGGGUAGAUGCUUUGUGUCUCCAUUGCCUCCUGUGAUGUGACCUCACAUUACAAGCCACUGUGGUUGGAACUGCUGGCAAAAUGGAAAGAACCAGGAAGAACAUCAAAGGAGAGUUUUAAAAGGAUAUGAAAUGUAUUAAUUUGUCGUAAUUAUCUACUUUUGAUAGAAGAAUCUCAGAGGUACUUAAGUUGAUGUCUUGGACCUUCAGUCCAGUGCUGACAUCUUGUAAAAUGUCUUAAGUUCCUACCAGGUAAUUUCUGCUUUCUGUCACAAAGCAGGAGAGAAGUUCCAGGAGGAAGUCAUGUAUUUUUCUCAUCUUUAGGUAUAUUAUAUGUAUACCCCAUAUUUCCCUAUAUUAUACUUACACAUAUAUUUAUGUUACACUUUCUAUUUCUCUUAUUUACGUACAUUAUUAACAAAAAAUUUUUGG
Molecule: long non-coding RNA, 4443 nt
Organism: Homo sapiens (human)
Lineage: Eukaryota; Metazoa; Chordata; Mammalia; Primates; Hominidae
Source: Ensembl